CAGCAUCGGCGGAGAAGAAAAGAGUUGACGUUUCGAGUCCUCAUGACCCUUCAACAGAACUUGAGUUCGAGUUUUAUUGCUUGUUUAUUCUGGAUAUUUGAAUUUGAUGUGUAAGACUUUUUAAGGUGUGGAUGUGAAUUAGGAAAAUGCUGCCCCUGGGGAAGAUGCUGUGCACUGGACUCUUGCUGCAUUUUGAACUGAUCAACUUUAAUUACCAUUCCGGAGAGCUGUAAUAAGACAAGGAUCAAGAAGUUCUGCAAUUGAAGAAAAUUUGCAACUCUGAUAGUGCACAUAUGGAGAAGGAGCAGGAGUAGGCCAUUUGGCCC
Molecule: long non-coding RNA, 326 nt
Organism: Carcharodon carcharias (great white shark)
Lineage: Eukaryota; Metazoa; Chordata; Chondrichthyes; Lamniformes; Lamnidae
Exons: 3
Source: RefSeq, a predicted model, not a curated record